CACAGUCCCACCUUCAGGCGUUUGGACUCAGUGAAGGUUGUUAGUGCCCAGCAGUGUGGGCUGAAUCUCCGUGGGGUUUAGAGAGACGACAGAAUCCCAGAUCCACGUCCCAUCGUUCCCACUUUGGGGAUCGGCACUCUGGCUGUUUCGUGAGGGAGAGAGAGGUUGAUUCCAUACCCUGGCUAUUGUGAAUACUGCUGUAGUAAACAUGGGAGAACAUAUAUCUGUUUGAGGAACUCAGAGUGGUUUUCCAGAUGGGAAUCACAUUGCUCUCUGUCCCUGAGAUCUUGCUGGAGGCAGGGCUACUCAGUCCCUCUUUGCCAGACUGAUAUUGGAAAAGCAGUUUCUAUUGAGCCCCCAAAUGAAGAGAGACUGCAGAUGAAAAGGAGGCAAGACUCACAAGGCCUUGAUCUUCAUACCAGACCCAUUAGCACCUACAGGACCUUGUACUGGGAUUUAGUCUGUGCUAUCAGCUUCUUCAAAGAGAGAGAGGUUGUUGAAUUGAUAUUGGAAAAGCAGUUUCCCAUUGAAUCUCAAGUGAAGAGAGAGUGAAGAUGAAAAGGAACUCUUCAUGUGGAUGUCUGAGCUCAUAUCAGGUCUGAAGGAGGCAGAUUCUGAGGAUUUGAGUCAUGAUGGCUGCCAAAGCUUCUACUCCUGAUUUAAAGGGCAACAAUCCUAGGAGACCAGCAGCACUUACAUCCCUGGUAGGAUAUGACACCUGCAUAUGGUCCAGAAGUGACAAAAGCUAAUUAUCAGGAUGGCAGUCCUUAUAACCAGAUGCUUAUCAACAUUCUUCACUGCAUUCUGAAGAUGAAUUUCUACACGGGAAAUUGUUGAUAUUUGUUUUUAGCGGGCAGAUAAGGAAGGAAGAAAAAGGCCCUGGUGAGAAACCCAUUGUACCUUCUGGAUAUGAUCACUACCCAAUUUUAUCAGUGUCAUUGGUCACUAACUCAGUGCCUAGUAUGGUACCAGGCACAGAGUUACCCAACAAUGUACAAUAAUGGCUGGAUUCUCUUUCUCCCUGUGCAACUUUUCAUGCAUGUGACUGAACUUAUAUUAAAUGUCUGAAGGAGGUUAGUUGUGAGGAUCUGGGACAUGAUGGGUGCUGAAGCUUCUCCAGAUUUGAAGGGGAGCAGUCCUCAAGAGACCCCUGGCACUUCCCUUGCUGGUGAGAUAUGAUGCCUGAUUCUAAUGAGUUCAUAGAUCUGAACAAAAGCACAUUGUGGAAUAGCUCCUGUGAGGUUCACAAUAUUAUCCAGAAGAUGAGAAACUACUCUUUGUAGUAAUCUUGAUUCCCAUCUAAGAGAUGCCUUACUUUUAUCAUAAAGCAAUGAAUUGUUGUUCACUUGAGGAAGGAACUUGAUGUUUAACAUGUCUUUGCAACAAAUUUACAUAUAUUUUCUGCCUUUAUGAAUACUUAUCAGUGAUGCCCAUGUAUUUCUCAGAUGGGUGCUGAACUAUACAGUUAGAAGGUUAGAAGAUCUUCCUAGCAAUUUGUGAUUAUAGUAUGCAUUCUUCCAUGGUUUCCAUAUUUUUUGUCUAGUCUAUAAUUAAAUUUUCUACGAAGCCAGAAAUUAAUUAAGUGCUACCUAAAAAUAUUAAAAUGUGAGGUACAAGAAAUUGGCAUUUUCCAAAUUAAUACUUGCAAUGUAGUUUGCCCUGUUAUAAUGAUAUCCAGCUAUGUCCUCUAAGAUAACUAGAUUUUUCUAAAUAUCAUUAUUAUUUCCCAGGACAUUGCAAUUUCAGUUCUGUAGUACCUGGCCUACCUACCUUUCCCACUGCCUUGGCCCCAGGUAAACACAGCAUGUCUGUCACAAUAUAUUACUUUACAUGUCCAGAAAUAUAUUUCAAUAGAAUCAUAGAAGUGGCUUCUUUUUUUUUUAAAUCAACACCUGGCUUUUUUCAUUCACUCUACUUAUUUUUAUAUUUAUCUACUUUAUUGCAUUUAUCUAUUGAUAUAGUUCGUUCUUUUUGUUUGCUAAAUACUAUUCCAGUAUACAACUAUAGCAAACAUUUCAUUAUCCAUCCAUUUGUCUAUGGACAUUUUGGUUUUUAAUUUGAGGCUCUUGUAAAUAAAGCUGCUAUGAACAUU
Saimiri boliviensis boliviensis (Bolivian squirrel monkey) is the source of this 2092-nucleotide non-coding RNA. The record is from RefSeq and is a predicted model, not a curated record. NCBI's taxonomy places the organism in Eukaryota, Metazoa, Chordata, Mammalia, Primates, Cebidae.